UCCCUGGCUCUUGUAGCUUUGAAGGUGA
Molecule: non-coding RNA, 28 nt
Filed under: Rattus norvegicus (Norway rat)
Lineage: Eukaryota; Metazoa; Chordata; Mammalia; Rodentia; Muridae
Source: RNAcentral